GAUGAAGAACGUAGCAAAAUGCGAUAAGUAAUGUGAAUUGCAGAAUUCAGUGAAUCAUCGAAUCUUUGAACGCACAUUGCGCCCGCCAGUAUUCUGGCGGGCAUGCCUGUUCGAGCGUCAUUUCAACCCUCAAGCACAGCUUGGUGUUGGGACUCGCGUUAAUUCGCGUUCCCCAAAUUGAUUGGCGGUCACGUCGAGCUUCCAUAGCGUAGUAGUAAAACCCUCGUUACUGGUAAUCGUCGCGGCCACGCCGUUAAACCCCAACUUCUGAAUGUUGCCCUCGGAUCAGGUAGGAAUACCCGCUGAACUUAAGCAUAUCAAUGAGCGGAGGA
This 332-nucleotide unclassified non-coding RNA is filed under the name soil metagenome. RNAcentral's name for it is "partial contains 5.8S ribosomal RNA, internal transcribed spacer 2, and large subunit ribosomal RNA". The stretch from base 1 to 120 matches the Rfam family "5.8S ribosomal RNA", at positions 35 to 154 of the family's 154-position model. The record is from RNAcentral.